RNAcentral lists this ribosomal RNA (502 nucleotides) under uncultured bacterium. RNAcentral's name for it is "partial 16S ribosomal RNA". It matches the Rfam family "Bacterial small subunit ribosomal RNA", at positions 30 to 523 of the family's 1533-position model. The record is from RNAcentral.
AUUGAACGCUGGCGGCAGGCUUAACACAUGCAAGUCGAGCGGAGUGAUGGUGCUUGCACUAUCACUUAGCGGCGGACGGGUGAGUAAUGCUUAGGAAUCUGCCUAUUAGUGGGGGACAACAUCUCGAAAGGGAUGCUAAUACCGCAUACGUCCUACGGGAGAAAGCAGGGGAUCACUUGUGACCUUGCGCUAAUAGAUGAGCCUGAGUCGGAUUAGCUAGUUGGUGGGGUAAAGGCCUACCAAGGCGACGAUCUGUAGCGGGUCUGAGAGGAUGAUCCGCCACACUGGGACUGAGACACGGCCCAGACUCCUACGGGAGGCAGCAGUGGGGAAUAUUGGACAAUGGGGGGAACCCUGAUCAGCCAUGCCGCGUGUGUGAAGAAGGCCUUAUGGUUGUAAAGCACUUUAAGCGAGGAGGAGGCUCUUUUGGUUAAUACCCAAGAUGAGUGGACGUUACUCGCAGAAUAAGCACCGGCUAACUCUGUGCCAGCAGCCGCGGUAA